RNAcentral lists this long non-coding RNA (215 nucleotides) under Pelobates cultripes (western spadefoot toad). Lineage: Eukaryota; Metazoa; Chordata; Amphibia; Anura; Pelobatidae. The record is from RNAcentral.
ACAAACAUAUGUCAAAAUCAUCCAAAUUGGUCCACUGGUUCAAAAGAUAGAUCGAAGUCCUUUGUGACCAAAUGAAGCAUGGCUUUUCUGCCCAAAACCAGUUCCACAGAGUCUUCUAUCCUGGAGAUAAUUGGGAAGUAAUCCAAUUAUCUCCAAGGACAGAGGCAAAACUCCAUUAAGCACAUGGCAGUAAAAAGACAGUAAAAUACAAUAAA